This 484-nucleotide ribosomal RNA is filed under the name uncultured bacterium. RNAcentral's name for it is "bacterial SSU rRNA". It matches the Rfam family "Bacterial small subunit ribosomal RNA", at positions 28 to 524 of the family's 1533-position model. The record is from RNAcentral.
GACGAACGCUGGCGGCGUGCUUAACACAUGCAAGUCGAACGGUGACCCAGGGCUUGCCCUGGUGAUCAGUGGCGAACGGGUGAGUAACACGUGGGGCAACCUGCCCCUGACUUCGGGAUAACUCCUCGAAAGAGGAGCUAAUACCGGAUACGACCACUUCGGACAUCCGAUGGUGGUGGAAAGUUUUUCGGUCAGGGAUGGGCCCGCGGCCUAUCAGCUAGUUGGUGGGGUAAUGGCCUACCAAGGCGACGACGGGUAGCCGGCCUGAGAGGGCGACCGGCCACACUGGGACUGAGACACGGCCCAGACUCCUACGGGAGGCAGCAGUGGGGAAUAUUGCGCAAUGGGCGAAAGCCUGACGCAGCGACGCCGCGUGAGGGAUGAAGGCCUUCGGUUGUAACUACUUUCAGCAGGGACGAAGCGAAAGUAGACGGUACCUGCAGAAGAAGACACCGGCUAACUACGUGCCAGCAGCCGCGGUAAU